ACUUUAUUGGAUCCCAAUCGAAUUACUUUAGUAACUUGAUAGGGCCCUUCCCAGUUCGGGGCUAGCUUGCCCUGCUCGGUAGGUUUAGAUACCUCAGUUCGACACAGAACAAGGUCACGACUCCUGAAAGAUUUUGGCUUCAUCCAAGAAUUGUAGUAGCAAGAUACACAUUGCUGAUAAGAGGCCUUCCUAAUCCUCACCC
RNAcentral lists this long non-coding RNA (202 nucleotides) under Elaeis guineensis (African oil palm). Its description in RNAcentral is "long non-coding RNA (EGUI_LNC031113)". The record is from RNAcentral. Lineage: Eukaryota; Viridiplantae; Streptophyta; Magnoliopsida; Arecales; Arecaceae.